GACGAACGCCGGCGGCGUGCUUAACACAUGCAAGUCGAGCGAUGAAGCACCUUCGGGUGUGAAUUAGCGGCGAACGGGUGAGGAACACGUGAGAAAUCUGCCUUCAACACUGGGAUAACUCCGGGAAACCGGGGCUAAUACCGGAUAUGAAACCUGCGGGCAUCCGCGGAUUUGGAAGGUUUUUCGGUUGAAGAUGAUCUCGCGGCCUAUCAGCUUGUUGGUGAGGUAAUGGCUCACCAAGGCGACGACGGGUAGCCGGCCUGAGAGGGCGACCGGCCACACUGGGACUGAGACACGGCCCAGACUCCUACGGGGGGCAGCAGUGGGGAAUAUUGGGCAAUGGAGGAAACUUUGACCCAGCGACGCCGCGUGCGGGAUGAAGGCCUUCGGGUUGUAAAGCUCUUUUACCCGGGAUGAUAAUGACAGUACCGGGAGAAUAAGCCCCGGCUAACUCCGUGCCAGCCGCCGCGGUAA
RNAcentral lists this ribosomal RNA (474 nucleotides) under uncultured bacterium. Its description in RNAcentral is "partial 16S ribosomal RNA". It matches the Rfam family "Bacterial small subunit ribosomal RNA", at positions 28 to 523 of the family's 1533-position model. The record is from RNAcentral.